RNAcentral lists this unclassified non-coding RNA (210 nucleotides) under Hevea brasiliensis (rubber tree). The record is from RNAcentral. Lineage: Eukaryota; Viridiplantae; Streptophyta; Magnoliopsida; Malpighiales; Euphorbiaceae.
GUUUCAAAUGCCUUAACAGGUUAGGCCAUUGUUGAUAUCUAAUCAGUGAUCUACAGAUUCAAAAAUAGACAAUAUUACGGUCCCCCAAACAGAUAUAUGGUUAUUUCCAGUCAGUUAACUUUACGGCGUUUUCCUAUAAAGUAUGUGUAUUCUUCAAGUAUAUUUCCCAUCAUUAAGCUGAUUCCAUUUGGAAAUGUGUAUGGAAUAAGG